RNAcentral lists this ribosomal RNA (896 nucleotides) under uncultured bacterium. RNAcentral describes it as "bacterial SSU rRNA". It matches the Rfam family "Bacterial small subunit ribosomal RNA", at positions 551 to 1447 of the family's 1533-position model. The record is from RNAcentral.
UNAUUGGGCGUAAAGGGAGCGCAGGCGGUCAGGAAAGUCUGGAGUAAAAGGCUAUGGCUCAACCAUAGUGUGCUCUGGAAACUNUCUGACUUGAGUGCAGAAGGGGAGAGUGGAAUUCCAUGUGUAGCGGUGAAAUGCGUAGAUAUAUGGAGGAACACCAGUGGCGAAAGCGGCUCUCUGGUCUGUCACUGACGCUGAGGCUCGAAAGCGUGGGUAGCGAACAGGAUUAGAUACCCUGGUAGUCCACGCCGUAAACGAUGAGUGCUAGGUGUUAGGCCCUUUCCGGGGCUUAGUGCCGGAGCUAACGCAAUAAGCACUCCGCCUGGGGAGUACGACCGCAAGGUUGAAACUCAAAGGAAUUGACGGGGGCCCGCACAAGCGGUGGAGCAUGUGGUUUAAUUCGAAGCAACGCGAAGAACCUUACCAGGUCUUGACAUCCCGAUGCUAUUCUUAGAGAUAGGAAGUUACUUCGGUACAUCGGAGACAGGUGGUGCAUGGUUGUCGUCAGCUCGUGUCGUGAGAUGUUGGGUUAAGUCCCGCAACGAGCGCAACCCUUAUUGUUAGUUGCCAUCAUUAAGUUGGGCACUCUAGCGAGGCUGCCGGUAAUAAACCGGAGGAAGGUGGGGAUGACGUCAAAUCAUCAUGCCCCUUAUGACCUGGGCUACACACGUGCUACAAUGGUCGGUACAACGAGUUGCGAGCCGGUGACGGCAAGCUAAUCUCUGAAAGCCGAUCUCAGUUCGGAUUGGAGGCUGCAACUCGCCUCCAUGAAGUCGGAAUCGCUAGUAAUCGCGGAUCAGCACGCCGCGGUGAAUACGUUCCCGGGCCUUGUACACACCGCCCGUCACACCACGAGAGUUUGUAACACCCGAAGUCGGUGAGGUANCCUUUUAGGG